This 1372-nucleotide ribosomal RNA is filed under the name uncultured bacterium. Its description in RNAcentral is "bacterial SSU rRNA". It matches the Rfam family "Bacterial small subunit ribosomal RNA", at positions 28 to 1381 of the family's 1533-position model. The record is from RNAcentral.
GAUGAACGCUGGCGGCGUGCCUAAUACAUGCAAGUCGAGCGAACGGACGAGAAGCUUGCUUCUCUGAUGUUAGCGGCGGACGGGUGAGUAACACGUGGAUAACCUACCUAUAAGACUGGGAUAACUUCGGGAAACCGUAGCUAAUACCGGAUAAUAUUUUGAACCGCAUGGUUCAAAAGUGAAAGACGGUCUUGCUGUCACUUAUAGAUGGAUCCGCGCUGCAUUAGCUAGUUGGUAAGGUAACGGCUUACCAAGGCAACGAUGCAUAGCCGACCUGAGAGGGUGAUCGGCCACACUGGAACUGAGACACGGUCCAGACUCCUACGGGAGGCAGCAGUAGGGAAUCUUCCGCAAUGGGCGAAAGCCUGACGGAGCAACGCCGCGUGAGUGAUGAAGGUCUUCGGAUCGUAAAACUCUGUUAUUAGGGAAGAACAUAUGUGUAAGUAACUGUGCACAUCUUGACGGUACCUAAUCAGAAAGCCACGGCUAACUACGUGCCAGCAGCCGCGGUAGUACGUAGGUGGCAAGCGUUAUCCGGAAUUAUUGGGCGUAAAGCGCGCGUAGGCGGUUUUUUAAGUCUGAUGUGAAAGCCCACGGCUCAACCGUGGAGGGUCAUUGGAAACUGGAAAACUUGAGUGCAGAAGAGGAAAGUGGAAUUCCAUGUGUAGCGGUGAAAUGCGCAGAGAUAUGGAGGAACACCAGUGGCGAAGGCGACUUUCUGGUCUGUAACUGACGCUGAUGUGCGAAAGCGUGGGGAUCAAACAGGAUUAGAUACCCUGGUAGUCCACGCCGUAAACGAUGAGUGCUAAGUGUUAGGGGGUUUCCGCCCCUUAGUGCUGCAGCUAACGCAUUAAGCACUCCGCCUGGGGAGUACGACCGCAAGGUUGAAACUCAAAGGAAUUGACGGGGACCCGCACAAGCGGUGGAGCAUGUGGUUUAAUUCGAAGCAACGCGAAGAACCUUACCAAAUCUUGACAUCCUUUGACAACUCUAGAGAUAGAGCCUUCCCCUUCGGGGGACAAAGUGACAGGUGGUGCAUGGUUGUCGUCAGCUCGUGUCGUGAGAUGUUGGGUUAAGUCCCGCAACGAGCGCAACCCUUAAGCUUAGUUGCCAUCAUUAAGUUGGGCACUCUAAGUUGACUGCCGGUGACAAACCGGAGGAAGGUGGGGAUGACGUCAAAUCAUCAUGCCCCUUAUGAUUUGGGCUACACACGUGCUACAAUGGACAAUACAAAGGGCAGCGAAACCGCGAGGUCAAGCAAAUCCCAUAAAGUUGUUCUCAGUUCGGAUUGUAGUCUGCAACUCGACUACAUGAAGCUGGAAUCGCUAGUAAUCGUAGAUCAGCAUGCUACGGUGAAUACGUUCCCGGGUCU